Molecule: long non-coding RNA, 943 nt
Organism: Salvelinus fontinalis (brook trout)
Lineage: Eukaryota; Metazoa; Chordata; Actinopteri; Salmoniformes; Salmonidae
Exons: 4
Source: RefSeq, a predicted model, not a curated record
UUUUUUAUUUAAUUUAAUUUAGCUUUGCAGUCAAAGAUAAUAGUUUCGGUAUAGUGUUAGUUUUUCAACAGUUUUUCUUAAUUAUUUUUUCUUCAGUUUACUCAAUUGUUUUUCCAAUUUUAGAUACAGUUUAAGUUUACAAUACACACACACACACACACACACACACACACACACACACGCACAAACAUAAGCAUGCGCACACAAACAGAAAAAAUCACGGAACAAAAACUUUAUUGGCUUUUGUCUUCAGACUUAAGAAACAUUCCCUGACAUGAAAUGCAACUGUGGUGGUCUUCUGAAAAACGUAUUCCAUGUGUUUGUCCCAGGCCAGACUUUACAGCAGCAUGGAUGAAUCUGGGAAUAGUGCAGAACAGAGCUACUGGAUUGCCAUCAGAUUCCCGAAGAAAUACCCAGACAGUUACUACAACCUGGGACUCCUGUAUGUAGACCUGAACAGACACCUAGAUGCUCUGAAUGCGUGGAGGAACGCUUCAGUACUGAAGUCUGACCACAGUCUUGCCUGGAACAAUUUGGUCAGUGCUGGACAACACUGGCAACCUGUCCAAGGCGGAGGUGAUUGGCCGAGAUGCCCUGAAGCUCCUCCCUAACGACCACACCAUAAUGCUCUCAUUGGCUAACGUUCUGGGCAAACUACAGAAGCAUGAGCGGUGCUGUCCCAUCACUGGAGUAAGAUGGAGCUGGCAAAAAAGCACUAUGGACUGUCUCUGAUGCUGGACCCAGAGGCCCCGGGUACCCAGGACAACAUGCUGCAAUGCAAACUGGACCAGCUUUACAUUGCCAAACCACCCUGUGCCACUCAACUACUGACUGCAUGCCACCUACACACACACACACAGAUCUUUGAAUCAUGCUUGAAACUUCCAGUCUAAUUUUUGCUAUCCCUGUCAAAAUAAACGUUUAAAAAAAAAAAAAUCACAGU